GUGAAAGAAGGUUACAUGCUGAUGGGUGACCAACACGGGAAGCAAAUCUGCAUUUCCCUGGGGGUUGAAAGGUGGGGCAGGAUGAUGGUUCAAUCUUUGUUAAUUCAGGAUCUCUACUGACUUUGCAGAACUACCUCUAAGGGUGAGAAUCGACCACUUUGGGAGGGUGUCUGGUAGACAAUGAAGUCAAAUCAGGGAAUCUCUCCUCCCAUUCCCCAAAACAAAUGGACAAAAAAAUUUAAAAAUCCAGCAACUCUUCCCGAGAAUGAAAGUAGGGAAACCUCUCCAUGUCAGACCACCUUACCCCCAGCCCCACUCACCAGCCGCCUCGUGGUGCUGUCUGCUCUGUGGUUCUGACCUGUACGGACUACAUCCAUGGGGCCAUGACCUCUGACUUCCUGUUGUGUUUGGCCAAAAGAUGCCCAACCAGAGGUGGAGGGCAGAAGCAUAGCUCAAACAGAAAGAGGAAACCACAACCCAGAAAAGGAUAUUUGCAGCACACCUACCCACAAAUCAUUAAGGAUAAAGAAAUUCUACAGAUCAGUGGAAGACCGACAACCAAAUAGAAAACACGAGCAAAGGACUUGAAGACUUGAAGGUUACAGCAGCAAAGUCUGGAUCCUCUUCAGCUUCUGCUGCUGUUUGCCUGGGGAGAAUGGAGGUGAAGAAUCUGAAGCUGAGGAGAUGAACCAGCUCCCCUAGAACCCAGCAAAGACCCCAGCAGAGCCAAUUACAAACAUGGGUCUCCCUCACCAUAUCAAGCUGCUUCUCAAUGACUAAGAACCUAUGUAUUUAUUUUUGAACAUUUUAAUCUUUAUUUUGAAGUCAGUUCAGACUUACUAAAGGUUACAGCAAUAGCAUCAAGUUCUCCCAUCCCUGCAUGCUAACAUCCUGUGUUAAAUCUAGGACGACGGUAGAAACCAAAGAGUUAACAUUUGUAUUCACAGAAGAAAUGUUCACAUAUUGAAGUAGGAGUUAGUCAUUCGGGCUUAUGUAUGAAGUGAAGUGAAGUGAAGUCGCUCAGUCGUAUCUGAUUCUUUGCGACCCCAUGGACUGUAGCCCACCAGGCCCCUCCAUCCAUGGAAUUUUCUAGGCAAGAGUACUGGAAUGGUUGCCAUUUUCUUCUCCACGGGAUCUUCCCAACCCAGGGGAUCAAACCCAGGUCUCCCGCAUUGUAGGCAGACGCUUUACUGUCUGAGCCACCAGGGAAUCCCUAGGCUUAUAUAUGAGUUGUGUUGAAUUUUAUGCUAAAACAGCCUGUUUGUGACCCAUCAGACAUACACUGUAUAUUUGCUUUAAUCACUAAAGAAAAGGGCAGACUGUCCAGAAGUUUAUAACAUCUGAAGAUAAGAGAUAAAUGCCUCCCUUCCUAGGAUGCCGAUGCUCAGACUCCUUGAUGAUAAGACUCCUCUCCCAGGGCCACCGGUGAACUGACUCUCUGUAUACUCGCUGAUCCAGUUUUUCUGAAACCCUGCAGGCAUGUAUCCCUGACUGGUUUGAUGUUCUUUGUUCUAAAAUGACAUAAAACAGCUGACAGCCAUGCUUCUUCCCAGAAGUUCCUCAGAGUCGUCUGAGUUAUUGUGUCUCUGGCUAUACUUCUCGGUUUGUCUCAAAUAAAGCCCUUUUCUAUCUCU
Molecule: long non-coding RNA, 1634 nt
Organism: Bos taurus (domestic cattle)
Lineage: Eukaryota; Metazoa; Chordata; Mammalia; Artiodactyla; Bovidae
Source: Ensembl